GGCACUGGUUCCGCCUUCCCGCUCCUCUAAGGAUGCUUAGAAUGACCCAGUGUUUUCUCUGUGGUUCUCCUUGACGGUCGUAGCAGCAAACCCCGAGAGAGGAUGUAUAAGGAAUACCAAGCCUUUCCCAGCAAAAAGCGGGAAGGGGCCCAGGCCCCGGGAGUCCCUCACUGAAGGACGACUCACAGAAAUAAAAUCCACACGCAUCUGGAGAUCAGCAGUCUCCGGGCUGGGUGCACGAGUCUUCCCUGCUUCCGCCUCGUCAGGCCUGUUCACCUUGGGUUCACACAGCCAUUUACCAGACCUUUUAGUCCCCACGUCGCCGGAGAGACCUUUUAGUCCCCACGUCGCCGGAGAGAUCGAGCGUCCCAUCCCCACGAGUCACGCCGCGAGCACAAAAGGUUACAUUAAUGAUGGGCAGUGCGCAGCAAGACAGUCAAAAGACUGUCCGAGGGAAAGGUUGCUAUCACUAUCAAGAUCAUUAAGUCGCCGGCGUUUCUUCCUGCGAGCAGCAGCUGCCCUCUGGGGCCGUUUAUUUUCCUUUCUUUCUUCAUCUAAAAUAGUAGAAAUGUCUUUCCCACGGUGACCUGUGAUGGUGGAGAUAUCUUUUCCUCGGCCAACUCCUGAAAGGAAGAGGUGUCUGUGGGCCUUUCUGACUCAACAAUAAUUUUUGGUCCCACAACAAAAAUUAAAAACCACUGAAUAAGGCAGGUAGCUCUUAGCCUUUGCGGCAGCAUAUGCACCUUGUCACUGGGAGGGACAUACAGUCUGCACAAAUGCUGUGUUUUCCUCUCUGUGGCUAUCACUGCUAGACAUGCAGACAUGUGAAGAAGAGUCCUCCUCAAUGUAGGGGACCAGGAGAGUGUCUGCUUCCUCCUUGGGAUGCUGAAUACACUCUCUAUGUCGAAUACCUGUGUUUUUUGACAGUACCAGCUGAUGCCAGAUCAAGGUGGAAUUUUCCAUUUGAACCAACAUGUGAUUAAUUCUUUUAUAUUAUUUUCUAUUUUAGAUUUUAUACAAUACAAGAAAUAAAAGAUCAAAUAUCAAAUUG
This 1051-nucleotide long non-coding RNA is filed under the name Mus pahari (shrew mouse). RNAcentral's name for it is "lncRNA (MGP_PahariEiJ_G0002190.1)". The record is from RNAcentral. Lineage: Eukaryota; Metazoa; Chordata; Mammalia; Rodentia; Muridae.